UUUUCCUUUAGAAAAACUUCUUGUUAAUAUAUAUAUAUAUAUAUAUUAACAAGAAGUUUUUCUAAAGGAAA
Molecule: microRNA precursor, 71 nt
Filed under: Olea europaea subsp. europaea
Lineage: Eukaryota; Viridiplantae; Streptophyta; Magnoliopsida; Lamiales; Oleaceae
Source: RNAcentral